UGCUCUGUCCCUCCUUUGAAUCUGAGAGGGAUACUCAGAUAGGAGUUGGGGAAGUGGAGUCAGACAGGAGCCCUACCGAGGCUCUAGGGCCUGUGACCGGGCUGAGGCCAGAGGAAACGCCAUCCCACCUGCAAGUCUGCUCGACCUCUCCAGACCCAGGAUGGGAGCAUCGAGGAAGCUGCCAGCACUACCCCAGCCCCAACUUCAGUCACGGCCACUCCUCAGAUCAUAGGUCAUUGAAGGGACCUUGGUCCCCAGCACCCAUCCAUCAAGGUGCCCAGUGCUCCCAGCUCUUGCAGUGACCACCAGAAGUGGCCCAAGUCUGGCAUUAUUCGUAUUCCUACUAGACACACACCUAAACUGACUUACGUGCAUCCCAAAACAGAGGCCUUGAUCCUGCAGGCUGAUGACACCACUGGAGGAAACCAGCCAGCCCUGGGGGCUCUGACGCUGGAUGCAGCCCUCCCAGGAAAUAGCUCCACUGGCUGCGGUAACUGGAGGCUCCUGAGACACAUCUCAGCCUGCAGUGGGUGGGCCCCCCAGCCCGCUGCAGCCCUGCCCCAGGAAGAAGCAGGCCAGUCAAACUGGCUGACCCCAUCAGUCCCCCCAUCCCCUCCCCCGCCCCAGUCUGUCCUCAGUCCUGAUCCCCCUGCUUGCCCCACAGUGGCCCAGGCUGGCCAUGCCCUUCCCAGCCUGCGGGCCAGCUGCUCAGAGCCAGGGGCUCACAGCCAGGGACGGAGGCUAUCCCAGCUCUGACCUGGGCUGGGCCCAAACCUGCCUCCUUUGGGCCUCAUUCUGAUUGGAAAAAACAGCCUCUCUAGUCCCUGUCUCAAGGAGAUGGCUUUUCAAACCAGAAUCUUUCUCACAAGUGUCUCCUCAGGACACAGCUCACUGUGCGGUUUCCUGAAGCUCUUUCUGGGUCAAGGUGGGUAAAACACACAUCCAUGAAUCUGUUUCUAUGUAUACAAAUAGACUUUGUGCUCUGCCAGUGUUAGUUUAAUAAAGCCCUCUGGCCAACAUCCCCAAUCUUCCUAAACACUCCAAGGAAAAUGUUCUCUUUUCUUCACCGCAUGGGCUAAAGUGCUAGGCUGCCUCCCUGUCCCCAGGUUAGUCCCCAAGCCUUCUUCUUUCUGACGGAGCCUCAGAGGGCUGUCCCCUGAGCACCCAUCCCCCUCUCUUCUAACUGCCCAGGCCCCAAGCCCCUAGGCCUGAGGGCAUCCUGGAAUCUUGCUCUCAGCACCCCACACCUGCCUCCCUUCAUAUGGAUUCCCUGAGCCAUGAAAACUCUCAGAAUCUUCACUGUGUUCUUAGCGCUCAGUGCCCUCUUCUAGGCCUGUCCCCAGCCCAGCCUACUGCUGGAAGGGAGAAGGAGGGAGGCCUUUUCCCCUUCAUACUCUUCCUUGUCCGCCUUCCUCUACUUGGGGGCCUCUUCAACAUCCUCCAUCUACCUUCCCUGGGGUGGUAUCCCUUUUGAUGAGCCCCAGGGAGGAGGCAAGGAGGAAGAUCCUAAAAACAAUUUAUGGAGGAAGUUAAGUCCUGGCAGGAGAGAUGUAGAGGGCUUGGACCCCAUCUGCCCAGUCCCAGGAUUUGCGCACACACACAACUACACAGACCUGCUGCAGUGCACACAGUCUUCCACAGAUGUACCUACACAAAUACACAAUCAGGGGCUCAGGCGUCUGGGGGCACAGACACAACAGGUUGCCCAGAUCCAGGUGUGUGUGCACACAACUCACACAAGAAACACCUGCACUUGGUUUGUAGAAUAAAAAUCCCAAGCAUACUAUAUCUACUAGGUUUGGGGACAAAGUGAAAAUGAAAAUAAUCUUGCUGAUAAGACUAAGGUGUCUUCCCAGAUCUGAUCAGGAGUCCAAUGUGAAUAGGAGACAAUAGAGAGCUGUCUUUGUACUUUGGCUCUGAGAAAGGUUUGUGGAAUGGACUGCGUGUGGCCUGAAAGAGCUUGCAUUGCAGGGAAUGCCUGGGCUUGAUGCCUGUUAUCUUGUUCAGUGCCUCUGAUAAAUUAAUAAACUGCAAUCUCACUCAA
Molecule: non-coding RNA, 2044 nt
Organism: Macaca mulatta (Rhesus monkey)
Lineage: Eukaryota; Metazoa; Chordata; Mammalia; Primates; Cercopithecidae
Source: RefSeq, a predicted model, not a curated record